CUGUACAAUACCUCUCCCUUUCACUUCACUCUAAGUACUCUUAACAAUAUCUUGAAAUAUAGUUUCUGGUUUUGUUUCCAGUCAAGUCAUAUUAUUGAGGACUGCAGGGUGGGAGAUGUAACAAUGGCAUUGAGAACAGCAGGAAGUGUGUUGGUGGUCUUUCUCUGGUCUGUAGCAGUGGUACUGGGUCAGGAUGGCUGGAGUGUGACAUACACCACUCAGAGUAUCUGUACCUUGAAGGGGUCAUCAGUGGAUCUGUUCUGUUCAUAACAGAUCAGACUGGAGGGAAUUAUGCUGGUGAUCCUGGAGUUACUCUGUCUGUUACAGACCUGCAGGUGAAGGUGACCACUACAUGGAGGUCAAUGACACUGACCUGUAGCACCACCUGUACUCUGACUGGUAACCCCACCUACACCUGGUACAGGAACAGUAAGAUUGUACAAGAGGACUCCUCCCCCUCAUACACAGUCUACUUUAAAACUGAAGACAGCUUCUACUGUGCUGUAAAAGGCAUCAAUUCUCCUGCAGUGUAUGGCCCAAAGAACACCUCAGUGUCAGUCAGUCCCUCUGGUGAAAUAGUGGAGGGCAGUUCAGUGACUCUGACCUGCAGCAGUGAUGCCAACCCACCUGUGGACAAAUACACCUGGUACAAGAAGAAAGUAACCUCAGCAUAAGCAUCAGGACAGAGUUACAGCAUCACUAACAUCAUCUCUGAGGACAGAGGAGAAUAUUACUGUGAGGCUGAAAAUAAAUAUGGACGUCUCAACUCUUCUUCUGUGUCUGUGGACGUUCAGUAGCUGCCCUGACUGUUGGAGCUCUUCUAGUCACCAUCUACUGCUAUAUUAAGAGGAGACACACAGGAGGAAGUGAUGCCACAUCAGACACACAGAUCCUGGAAAAAAAAAAAGUCAUUUUAAUCCAUAGAGACGUGAAGGAGAAGCACGUCGGAUGUUGAUCUCUUCUCGGCUGGGUCCUCAUUUGGGACCAAAGUUCCUUGUUGUUAAGAGACUCUUUCUGCUCUUGCAGACGCUAACUACAGAGGCCAACAGUGACAUGUACACAGCUCUGAACAUGAAAACCAGGCCACCAGAGUAUGACACCCUGGCAAAUGUGAGGGGACUCCCCAGUGACACAGCCCCUCAAAUAGAUCCUUAGCUCUCCAUUUAUGAGAAAUGAAGAGAACCACCACAGAACCUAGACUGAAGAGAAGCACCACAGAACCUGGACUGAAGAGAAGCACCACAGAACCUAGACUGAAGAGAACCACCACAGAACCUAGACUGAAGAGAACCACCACAGAACCUGGACUGAAGAGAACCAUCACAGAACCUGGACUGAAGAGAACCACCACAGAACCUGGACUGAAGAGCAACAGCAUCAAACCAAAGCUAGGCCUCACAAUGUUAUUCUCUUACUAUCAUUAUGCUUUCUAAUCCAGAAGGUUUGAGACAAUGAGCUUUAACUUUUGAGUAAAUGCUGGAAUUUAGAUUAUUCUCCUAAUGAUAAAUACAGUAUGUGCACUAUCGUUCAAAAGUUUGGGGUCACUUAAAAUGUCCUUGCAUUUUUUUUUGGCCAUUAAAAUAUAAUCAAAUUGAUCAGAAAUGCAGUGUAGACAUUGUUAAUGUUUUAAAUGACUAUUGUAGCUGAAAAUGGCAGAUUUUUUGGUGGAAUAUCUACACAGGCGUACAGAGGCCCAUUAUCAGCAACUAUCACUCCUGUGUUCCAAUGGCACACUGUGUUAGCUAAUCCAAGUUUAUCAUUUUAAAAGGCUAAUUGAUCAUUUGAAAAUCAUAAUGCAAUUAAAUUAGCACAGCUGAAAAUGGUUGUGCUUGCUGAUUUAAAGAGGCAAUAAAACGGGCCUUCUUUAGAUUAGUUGAGUAUCUGGAGCAUCAGCAUUUGUGGGUUCGAUUACAGGCUCAAUGUUGCAAUUUAUCUAUUUCCAGUUUUCAACUUAUCUGUUUUCUAUCUAUUGAUUGUAUUGCUUAUCUUUUUUAUGGGAUUUUGCCAAUUCCAGAUUUUUUAUAACAUAUAAAGUUAUGGCUUGUCUUAGUGACACAAAAAUGAAUUAUAUUGACAAGAGAUUUUAAAUAUUUGUAUCUCUGGAGUUGUUCCUGAUAUGUUAAAAUAUAUUUUACUUUGUAUUGCUGUCAGUCAUUACUGGUCAUUUUAUAUUUUAUAUUAUGUAAUACCAUAUUGUUCAGUGUCAUGAUAUUCCUUGUUUUAUUAUCACAUAAUUAAUAAUGACAUAUUUUAGAUACAUUGAAUACAGUAUAAGCAUUAUGUUGUAAAUAAGCUCAAAUGUAAACAAUAAAAAGACAAAUAAAUUGAAUAUUUUGUUAAUUUA
This is a long non-coding RNA of Oncorhynchus kisutch (coho salmon), 2344 nucleotides long. RefSeq lists it as uncharacterized. The transcript has 9 exons. The record is from RefSeq and is a predicted model, not a curated record. NCBI's taxonomy places the organism in Eukaryota, Metazoa, Chordata, Actinopteri, Salmoniformes, Salmonidae.